Molecule: long non-coding RNA, 1114 nt
Filed under: Athene cunicularia (burrowing owl)
Lineage: Eukaryota; Metazoa; Chordata; Aves; Strigiformes; Strigidae
Description: lncRNA (ENSACUG00000000612.1)
Source: RNAcentral
AUGGGAAAAUCCCAAUUCCAAAUAAGAAAUGCUGUUGUGGGUCUGAGCUGUGACUGUGUCUGCCCUCACAUUUCUGUUUCCGUGGGUGAAGGGAGAGCAUUUCCUCAUUGCAUGCAAGAGUAUCGCCCAUGGACUGGAGCAAAACCAUCCAAGCCUAUAAAGACAAAGCAAGGCUUCAUUAUCCCAGAAGACCAUUUUGUUCAAGAGACAAGCUACAAGGCAGAUUUUAAGAUCCCAGAGGUGAAGACCAGGUUCUCCCCCAACCCUUCUGCUGUUUUCCAGGCGCCGUCGCGGAUCCUCAACGUGUGAACCUGGACCCUCCUCACACCCAGGCAGCUUAAACGCAGUGUUUCUGUUAAGAAGUAUCACUAUGCAAUUUUUAUGAGGAGUGUUAAGAUCAAAGAACUGGUAUUAUCAAAAACAGCUCCAGUGAUUAAUGAUAUGCACACACACUUUCUGUUAACACAACAAACCGCAAAGCGCUUGGUUCAGAACUGGCAAAACACGCUGCGAGGAGUGACCUAGUUUUUCACGGGAGCAGGUUCAUUACUAUGCCAGCUGGCGUCACAUUAGGAGAUUGACUUUGGGCAGCAAAGGCAGUACUACGGGCAACAUCCCUACGCUUAACUACAUGGGGUGGGAGGGAAAACAAUCACAAGUGGGAUGGAUAAUUAAAACCAAAAAGAGUCUGAUUUAGCAGCACCCUCUAAGUAGUCCAGUGAAAGACAGGGAGUGUCUGGCUGACUUCUGAGCUUCUUGAAGGAUUUUGGAAAUAGGACCUCAAGUGACAUCACCAGAAACUAUAGCAUCAAAGAGGCUGGUCUGAACUUCCAGAACUUCUGAACUGCUCCAAACUGACACAGGAGCAAGAGGGGCCUCAACUUUGGGAGACAGCCCUGAGAGCAAUGCACCAGCCUGGCUGGGAGUGGAUUGCAUGGACAGAGUCAGCCAGGCACCUGCCAGACUCCAGAGGGUCUAAGAUGUUUAUGUAAUUUGUAUAGCUGUUAGGGUGAGUGUAAAUAUUGUAUAUGGAUUUUACCUAAAGCAAUUUGUGAUCCUUUAAUGAAAAGGACAUGCUUAUACUUUUAAUAAAUGUUACCUCUUUGCAUAUGCA